Molecule: ribosomal RNA, 254 nt
Filed under: uncultured bacterium
Lineage: Bacteria
Description: partial 16S ribosomal RNA
Rfam family: Bacterial small subunit ribosomal RNA
Source: RNAcentral
UACGUUGGCAGCAAGCGUUGUUCGGAGUUACUGGGCGUAAAGGGUGUGUAGGCGGUCUUUUAAGUUUGGUGUGAAAUCUCCCGGCUCAACCGGGAGGGUGCGCCGAAUACUGAGAGACUUGGAGUGCGGGAGAGGAAAGUGGAAUUCCUGGUGUAGCGGUGAAAUGCGUAGAUAUCAGGAGGAACACCGGUGGUGUAGACGGCUUUCUGGACCGUAACUGACGCUGAAACACGAAAGCGUGGGUAGCAAACAGG